CGCGCAGGUGGUUUCUUAAGUCUGAUGUGAAAGCCCACGGCUCAACCGUGGAGGGUCAUUGGAAACUGGGAGACUUGAGUGCAGAAGAGGAUAGUGGAAUUCCAAGUGUAGCGGUGAAAUGCGUAGAGAUUUGGAGGAACACCAGUGGCGAAGGCGACUAUCUGGUCUGUAACUGACACUGAGGCGCGAAAGCGUGGGGAGCAAACA
RNAcentral lists this ribosomal RNA (207 nucleotides) under uncultured bacterium. RNAcentral's name for it is "partial 16S ribosomal RNA". It matches the Rfam family "Bacterial small subunit ribosomal RNA", at positions 568 to 774 of the family's 1533-position model. The record is from RNAcentral.